RNAcentral lists this ribosomal RNA (492 nucleotides) under uncultured bacterium. RNAcentral describes it as "partial 16S ribosomal RNA". It matches the Rfam family "Bacterial small subunit ribosomal RNA", at positions 29 to 507 of the family's 1533-position model. The record is from RNAcentral.
AGUGAACGCUGGCGGUAGGCCUAACACAUGCAAGUCGAACGGCAGCACAGUAAGAGCUUGCUCUUCCGGGUGGCGAGUGGCGGACGUGUGAGGAAUACAUCGGAAUCUACUUUUUCGUAGGGGCUAACGUAGGGAAACUUACGCUAAUACCGCAUACGACCUACGGGUGAAAGCAGGGGAUCUUCGGGCCUUGCGCGAUUGAAUGAGCCGAUGUCGGAUUAGCUAGUUGGCGGGGUAACGGCCCACCAAGGCGACGAUCCGUAGAUGGUCUGAGAGGAUGAUCAGCCGCACUGGAACUGAGACGCGGUCCAUAGGCCUACGGGAGGCAGCAGUGGGGAAUAUUGGACAAUGGGCGCAAGCCUGAUCCAGUCGGAGCGCGUGGGUGAAGGAGGCGUUCGGUUUGUAAAGCCCUUUUGUUGGGAAAGAAAAGCAGCAGGUUAAUACCCCGCUGUUCUGACGGUACCCAAAGAAUAAGCACCGGCUAACUUCGUG